RNAcentral lists this ribosomal RNA (253 nucleotides) under uncultured bacterium. RNAcentral's name for it is "partial 16S ribosomal RNA". It matches the Rfam family "Archaeal small subunit ribosomal RNA", at positions 474 to 727 of the family's 1478-position model. The record is from RNAcentral.
UACCAGCACCCCGAGUGGUCGGGACGACUAUUGGGCCUAAAGCAUCCGUAGCCGGUACUGCAAGUCUUCCGUUAAAUCCACCUGCUCAACAGUUGGGCUGCGGAGGAUACUACAGCGCUAGGAGGCGGGAGAGGCAAGCGGUACUCAGUGGGUAGGGGUAAAAUCCAUUGAUCCAUUGAAGACCACCAGUGGCGAAGGCGGCUUGCCAGAACGCGCUCGACGGUGAGGGAUGAAAGCUGGGGGAGCAAACCGG